Molecule: long non-coding RNA, 4789 nt
Filed under: Solanum tuberosum (potato)
Lineage: Eukaryota; Viridiplantae; Streptophyta; Magnoliopsida; Solanales; Solanaceae
Description: long non-coding RNA (STUB_LNC000195)
Source: RNAcentral
AAAGAAGUGUCCCAAAACCGCACACACAUAUAAACAAGACAUGGGACAACAAAGAUGCAAUACUCACACUCACAAAGAAUCAUCUCAUGUACACAAAUGUCACACCAUUCAUUGGCUUGCCAUACUUUCAAUCAUUAUUGACUCAACUCCAUUUGGUUAGAAAUCUCAAAGGACUUUGGUAAGCUUGUAAUAUAGGCUUAGGAAAGGUUAGGAUAUCAUUUAGGUAUAAGUGAUUACACCCUCCUUGAACACUACACAACAACUCAUCAUUUCCAACUUUCUCCACUCUUCUUCACUUUUCAAACUCAUGCACAUUCCACACUAUUUUUCAUUAUUCUUUUCUUAUUUCUACUCUAGAAUCCCCCACGUACAACCAUUUUCAACUUUUGGAGGAUUCAAGUCUCAUUUAUUCAUUUUCUUUCUUUAAGACUUUUCAUCCAACCCUCAAUUUCUCUCUUCUUUUUUUAUCUUCUUUUUUAUUCUAUCAAGCGGAUGUGGUAAGCAUCACUUGAAUGAAUUUCCCAUAACACCACCAACUUAGGUUUUUAGCCUCGAUUUUUUUCACAACCUCAAGUUCAAGGAGGGAAGGGUUCAAAAGUGGGUUACUUUUUUCAAAAAGGAUAAGACUUGUAAUGUGGUUGCCAAUAAAAAAGAUUAAGCUCAAAGGGGACAACUAAGGAUAUAUUUAGUGCAAAGGUGGGAUUUUUAGGCCAAGUGGACUUCAAGAACAUCAAAGAAAGCCUAAGAUCAUUUCUUCAACAAAACUCAAUCAAGACCAACAUUUCAAAACCAGCCGGGGAAGUUCUAGGUGACAAAAGCGAACACAAGGCAUUAAUUAUUCAAUAACUCAUCACACAUGGCCUGCAAAUCAAUCAAAAUGGUUCAAAAUCUUACUUCCUUUUCAAAAUACAAGUAGCAUUGACAUUUUAACCGCUAACGAAUCAGAAGUCGCAAAAAGAGUUAUAAGAGUUGUCACAAAUCAUUCAUAACAUGCUCAAGCUUUUUAAAAAGGAGAGGUAUGCUCAUGAUUCACAUGCAUGACUAUGCUCUUAGUACCAACCAAGUCAAAACAUUCCCAAAAUGAUGAUGAUUUUGCCUUUAAGAAAGCCGUCAACCAAUCCAUCAACAGGCAACCUCAUGCAUCUAUUUGGGAACGGCUACUCAAACUUCGACACAAUCAAUGCCAAUCAAACAUUCACAAGCAAACGAUGAUUUAACCUUAAGAAGGACGUCACUCUCUAUCCAUCAUCGGGCAUCGUUAAUCCAAAUCUUAUUAUAAAAAAAAUAACAAAGAAGCUACAAACUACAAAUCAACAGGGAAAAGAUUGAGAAGGCAAAAAUCAUUACGAAGUAGUUUGAUAGAAAAAAUGAUCUUGGAAAAUUGUAAUUGAGCAUAAGAUGAAACUAACCAAUACUUACUAUAAUGUGGAAGUACUCGGUAUCCUUAGGAACAUGCUUAAAGAGUGCUAAGGAACCGAUCAGAAAACUCAGCAUCGUUCUUGCACCCAUUGCCUGCAAAUUAAUCAACAUUUAAACAGUAAGAUUCAAGGAAGAGCUCCACGGUGGAAGGAUACAGACAACCAUAGAGCCUUAGUUCAUAUCUCCAAAAAAAAUCACUUGUUUGAAUACCUGAGAGAAGUUCAAGACCUUCAUUAGUAACUUCACUUUAUCAAAAUAAAUUAACAAAGCAAUAUUUUCUUAAAAACUAAAAAUUCCAUAUAUAGUUCUAUGGAGACUAUGCAACUUUGUUUCUCUUUUUUUGGAAUUACCCUUUGAUUGCAUUCAUUUAUCUUUUCCACUAAUCCUUCGGUGUUUCUGCAUUUUUCUAUUAUGCUUCUCAAUCAAGCUAACAUCUCCAUUAUUUUUCUUAGUUCAGAUAUAAUCUAAGUUGUCACAUUGAGGAAAGCAUCUUUUUGUGGAAGUAAAGCAUGAAUUGAUUUUAUAUGAUUAACAGUCACUGUAAGCAACGGUUGACUUAAUGUUAACAAUAAGUAAUAAUGCAACUGUUGAGAAUUUAGACUUGGCAAAGUUUCCAUAUGAAUAAAUGUCAUGCACCCUGCUUAGGUGCAGUACAUACCUCACAUUGCAGCUCACACUGCACCUUAGAUAGUACAACUUCAGUUACAGAUAAUAUAUCACUCAAAUGCCAACAGAGAAAUAUUACUUCAUUGACAUCUUUAAUCAUCAAACUAAUGUGUGAUUAUAACAUUAGAAAAAGUUAAAAUUACAAGACAUCCAAAAUCAUCAAACUAAUGUGUGAUUAGUAAAAUGGAAAGAAGAACUACAGGAAAAAAUCACUGGAAGAAGCAUUCUAACAGUACAAAAAUAUUCUCUUAUUUCAAAGAAAUAAUCCACCACCCUCGCAACCACCUCCUAUAACAGAGAACAGAAACAAGACAGGGAAUAUAAUACAAAUAACUAAAGACUCAAAAAAGUAGAAUCAGAAGAAUGUCAGAUGAUCAGGUCAAGACCAAUUGCUCAACGUACUAUCUUUGCACAAAGACCAAAUUUUCUACGUGUCUAUUUCAAUGCAUAAGUUACAAUAAUCAAAAGUUUCCACUUGGAUCUACGACAAUCUUAGGAAAAUAUACCCUAAUAACUAACAAAACAAGAGGAGCCAGUCUAAAAUACCUUUGUUCCUCCUAAUUGAAGGUCAAGAAAAAAUGAAAGAAGUUGGAGCUUAACUUUUAAAGCGGGAACAUGCAAAAGUUCCCACUAAACACAUUAAAUGUAAAGGAAAACAACAGUAUUAUGUGACGUGCAUACCAAAACACGCAAUAAUAGAUGAAAGAAGCUCAAUAGUAGAAAGACUAGAAAGAUAUUAGAUAGAUGAACUUCUUUAUUAGGGAACUGAUGAAAGAAAAGUUGGGUAAAUAUACUACCUUUUCUUUGACAACUCAUGAAAGAAAGUUUGCCAAAGAUUUGAAAUACUUUCAUCUUCAUCUUCCAAACAGUUGGCCAUUUCAUUUAUAUAAACUUCCACCUAAUAAUGAUACAUGCAAAUCAAGAUGAUAAAAAUUCUGACACAUGAAAGCUAAGUAUAAAUGUCUUAUAGUCCAGCCAAACCUUCAUCUCAUUCAGUAUUAGAUGAGAAUGAACGAUCUCUUGAUCAUGCAUACAUAUGCUCUGUCCAUGGCUCUUAACAGAUUAGGAAAAUGAACUGCCAGAUCUCCAAGACCAACAGUGCAAUUUGAUCAAACUGUUUCAGAUGGUGCAUUUUCCACAACAGUGAAAAGAAGCUGGAGAUUUGCAUCACUAGGAAGUAAUAUACACACAUGUUUAGAACUUUUUACAAAAAUCUUAAAUAAUUGAUGACGCUCAAAUCACCCUCAAAACAAGUUAAUAGAGUAAGUGGUCGUCGUUAAUAAAAAUACCCAACUCUUAGUAACGUUCGAACACAAGAGGCUCGUAUUUCUUGACACACCACAAAUCAACUUUUCUUUCUCAAUUAAGCACAAAGGUAAUGGCUCCGGUAGGUACUAAAAAAUAGUCCACAUGCAAACUUUUUUCACAUAAGAAAUCCUCUCAUUCUCAUUACAUUUUUUAAAAACCAAGAAUCAUUUAAGUGACAACAACUCAAACUCAAGAGAUGACUCAACUCAUUAACACUUUCACAUGCUCACUUGACUCAAUUAGGAACUUUCAAAAUCACCACUUUUUCAGCUUACAUGCCCUCACAUGAAAGAAGUUUCCCAAAACCGCACACACAUAUAAACAAGACAUGGGACAACAAAGUUGCAACACUCACACUCACAAAGAAUCAUCUCAUGUACACAAAUGUCACACCAUAGGCUUGCCCAUAUUUUCAAUCAUUAUUGACUCAACUCCAUUUGGUUAGAAAUCUCGAAGGACUUUGUUAAGCUUGUAAUAUAGGCUUAGGAAAGGUUAGGAUAUCAUUUAGGUAUAAGUGACUACACCCUCCUUGAACACUACACAACAACUCAUCAUUUCCAACUUUCUUCACUUUUCAAACCCAUGCACAUUCCACAUUAUUUUUCAUUAUUCUUUUCUUAUUUCCACUCUAGAUUCCCCACAUAUAACCAUUUUCAACUUUUGGAGGAUUCAAGUCUCAUUUAUUCAUUUUCCUUCUUUCUUUUUCAAUGCUUUUUCUUUAUUUAAGACUUCCCAUCCAACCCUCACUUUUCAAACCCAUGCACAUUCCACACUAUUUUUCAUUAUUCUUUUCUUACUUCCACUCUAGAUCCCCCCCCCCAAUACAACCAUUUUCAACUUUUGGAGGAUUCAAGUCUCAUUUAUUCAUUUUCUUUCUUUUUUUUUCAAAGCUUUUUCUUUCUUUAAGACCUUCCAUCCAACCCUCAAUUUCUCUCUUCUUCUUUUUUUCAUUUUUUUUUCUAUCAAGCCCUCAUGUUGUAAGCAUCCCUUCAAUGAAUUUCCCAUAACACCACCAACUUAGGCUAAAAGCCUCAACUUUCACAACCUCAAGUUCAAGGAGGGAAGAGUUCAAAAGAGGGUUACUUUUUCAAAAAGGAUAAGGCUUGUAAUAUGGUUGCCAAUAAAAAGGAUUAGGCUCAAAGGGGAUAACUAAGGAUAUAUUUAGUGCAAAGGUGGGAUUUUUAGGCCAAGUGGAUUUCAAGAACAUCAAAGAAAGCCAAAGAUCAUUUCUCCAACCAAACUCAAUCAAGACCAACAUUUCAAGACCAACCGGGCAAGUUCUAGGUGACAAUAGCGAACACAAGGCAUAAUUCAAUAACUCACCACACAUGGCCUGCAAAUCAAUCAAGAUGGUUCAAAAUCAAUCUUCCUUUUCAAAAUACAAGUAGCAUUGAAC